GAUGAACGCUGGCGGCGUACCUAAUACAUGCAAGUCGAGCGAACGGACGAGAAGCCUGCUUCUCUGAUGUUAGCGGCGGACGGGUGAGUAACACGUGGAUAACCUACCUAUAAGACUGGGAUAACUUCGGGAAACCGUAGCUAAUACCGGAUAAUAUUUUGAACCGCAUGGUUCAAAAGUGAAAGACGGUCUUGCUGUCACUUAUAGAUGGAUCCGCGCUGCAUUAGCUAGUUGGUAAGGUAACGGCUUACCAAGGCAACGAUGCAUAGCCGACCUGAGAGGGUGAUCGGCCACACUGGAACUGAGACACGGUCCAGACUCCUACGGGAGGCAGCAGUAGGGAAUCUUCCGCAAUGGGCGAAAGCCUGACGGAGCAACGCCGCGUGAGUGAUGAAGGUCUUCGGAUCGUAAAACUCUGUUAUUAGGGAAGAACAUAUGUGUAAGUAACUGUGCACAUCUUGACGGUACCUAAUCAGAAAGCCACGGCUAACUACGUG
This 497-nucleotide ribosomal RNA is filed under the name uncultured bacterium. RNAcentral's name for it is "partial 16S ribosomal RNA". It matches the Rfam family "Bacterial small subunit ribosomal RNA", at positions 28 to 507 of the family's 1533-position model. The record is from RNAcentral.